AGCGGGAUACCUAAUUAAGGCCCUACUAUGAUAACGUAGACUUCGUACUACCAGUACUCCCGCU
This 64-nucleotide transfer RNA is filed under the name Spirobolus grahami. RNAcentral's name for it is "tRNA-Ile". The record is from RNAcentral. Lineage: Eukaryota; Metazoa; Arthropoda; Diplopoda; Spirobolida; Spirobolidae.